This 509-nucleotide ribosomal RNA is filed under the name Acaulospora sp. PSAM-Aca-1. RNAcentral describes it as "SSU rRNA". It matches the Rfam family "Eukaryotic small subunit ribosomal RNA", at positions 569 to 1078 of the family's 1831-position model. The record is from RNAcentral. Lineage: Eukaryota; Fungi; Glomeromycota; Glomeromycetes; Diversisporales; Acaulosporaceae.
AGCAGCCGCGGUAAUUCCAGCUCCAAUAGCGUAUAUUAAAGUUGUUGCAGUUAAAAAGCUCGUAGUUGAAUUUCGGAAUCUGUCCGUCGGUCGGGCUUCACUGUCCGUACUGGUGUGAUGGGUUUCUACCUUCUGAAUAACCGGCAUGUCAUUAAUUUGGUGCGCCGGGGAAGCAGAACUAUUACCUUGAAAAAAUUAGAGUGCUUAAAGCAGCUAUCGCCUGAAUAGAUUAGCAUGGAAUAAUAAAAUAGGACGGCAUGGUUCUAUUUUGUUGGUUUCUAGGAUCACCGUAAUGAUUAAUAGGGAUAGUUGGGGGCAUUAGUAUUCAAUUGUCAGAGGUGAAAUUCUUGGAUUUAUUGAAGACUGACUUCUGCGAAAGCAUUUGCCAAGGAUGUUUUCAUUAAUCAAGAACGAAAGUUAGGGGAUCGAAGACGAUCAGAUACCGUCGUAGUCUUAACCAUAAACUAUGCCGACUAGGGAUCGGAUGAUGUUAAUUUUUUAAUGACUCA